This 81-nucleotide transfer RNA is filed under the name Actinomyces graevenitzii. RNAcentral's name for it is "tRNA-Phe". It matches the Rfam family "tRNA", at positions 9 to 71 of the family's 71-position model. From Rfam's summary of the family: Transfer RNA (tRNA) molecules are approximately 80 nucleotides in length. Their secondary structure includes four short double-helical elements and three loops (D, anti-codon, and T loops). Lineage: Bacteria; Bacillati; Actinomycetota; Actinomycetes; Actinomycetales; Actinomycetaceae. The record is from RNAcentral.
GGCCUAGUGUAAGCUAGGUUGUAACGGAAGAGCGGCCGGUUGAAGCCCGGCAGGUCGCAGGUUCAACUCCUGCCGAGGGCA